Molecule: ribosomal RNA, 465 nt
Filed under: uncultured bacterium
Lineage: Bacteria
Description: bacterial SSU rRNA
Rfam family: Bacterial small subunit ribosomal RNA
Source: RNAcentral
CCAGACUCCUACGGGAGGCAGCAGUGAGGAAUAUUGGUCAAUGGGCGGGAGCCUGAACCAGCCAAGUCGCGUGAGGGAAGACGGCCCUACGGGUUGUAAACCUCUUUUGUCGGGGAGCAAAGCGAGUCACGUGUGACUCAUUGAGAGUACCCGAAGAAAAAGCAUCGGCUAACUCCGUGCCAGCAGCCGCGGUAAUACGGAGGAUGCGAGCGUUAUCCGGAUUUAUUGGGUUUAAAGGGUGCGCAGGCGGUCUGUUAAGUCAGCGGUCAAAGCCCGGGGCUCAACCCGGGCCGGCCGUUGAAACUGGGGAUCUUGAGUGGGCGAGAAGUAUGCGGAAUGCGUGGUGUAGCGGUGAAAUGCAUAGAUAUCACGCAGAACUCCGAUUGCGAAGGCAGCAUACCGGCGCCCGACUGACGCUGAGGCACGAAAGCGUGGGGAUCGAACAGGAUUAGAUACCCCAGUACG